AUUUUUAUAGUGUAAAUAACAUAUUGUUUUUUCAAAACAAAGAUAUUUUUAUUAAAAAUA
This 60-nucleotide transfer RNA is filed under the name Metacrangonyx longicaudus. Its description in RNAcentral is "transfer RNA Glutamic acid". Lineage: Eukaryota; Metazoa; Arthropoda; Malacostraca; Amphipoda; Metacrangonyctidae. The record is from RNAcentral.